RNAcentral lists this long non-coding RNA (788 nucleotides) under Gossypium barbadense (sea-island cotton). RNAcentral's name for it is "long non-coding RNA (GBAR_LNC022983)". Lineage: Eukaryota; Viridiplantae; Streptophyta; Magnoliopsida; Malvales; Malvaceae. The record is from RNAcentral.
UUCGUUUUUAUAUUUUAUUGUUUGUAUGUUGUAAGGUCAACUUUAUUUAUUUUAUGUUGAUAUCGCAUUUCAUAUCAUUUUUAUACUUUCAUAUUCAUCAUAGUUUUACCAUGCAUAAAAAAUGUAAUUUGCUUUCACUAUGAUUUUGUGUUUAAUUUUACUUGAUAUAAUAACAUCUUUUUUUAAAGUGGCAUUUCGUGUUUGGAUUCAAGAAAAUCAUGCCCUAACUUACUGGGUUUCGAUUUUCUCGAUAAAUCUAAAUACACGAAUCUUUUCAAAAUCAAGCUUUGAAUGAUCUCGAAAUUAAAAGAGGGUCGCAUCCUAACUUACUGGUUGUGAUCUCAUUUUUAAAUUCGAGACGGCUAAAAUGUCUUAAACAAACUUUUUCAUUCGCGUAUCGGGAAUUCGAGAUAUUGUAUUCUAACUUACUGGAUAUGAUUCUCUUUCUCGAUUAACGUGAAAUAUACUUCUUUUUCCAAAACUUUAAUGCUAGGAUCGCAUUUUUUUCUUGCAAGUUCUCAAUUUUCGACAUCAAGACAUUAGAUAAUCAACUAGGUACCAAUUUCUGGGCGUUACGAGGGUGCUAACCCUUCCUCGUAUGUAACCGACUCCCGAACCCGUUUCCUAAAUUUCGUAGACCAAAACCGUUGUUUUAAUAAGAUCAAAUUAUUUAUUAAAAACAACCUCUUUCCAAGGUGACCCAAUCACACCCCAAAAAGGAUUGGUGGCGACUCCCGUUUUUUUCGUUUUCAUCAAAACCCAAGUCGACCCCGUUUUUCAUCCAAAAA